Molecule: unclassified non-coding RNA, 315 nt
Filed under: uncultured fungus
Lineage: Eukaryota; Fungi
Description: partial contains small subunit ribosomal RNA, internal transcribed spacer 1, and 5.8S ribosomal RNA
Rfam family: Eukaryotic small subunit ribosomal RNA (bases 1-73)
Source: RNAcentral
ACAAACUUGGUCAUUUAGAGGAAGUAAAAGUCGUAACAAGGUUUCCGUAGGUGAACCUGCGGAAGGAUCAUUACAGUAUUCUUUUGCCAGCGCUUAAUUGCGCGGCGAAAAACCUUACACACUAUGUUUUUUUAAUUUGAAACUAUUGCUUUGGUCUGGCUUAGAAAUAGGUUGGGCCAAAGGUUUUAUCAAAACUUCAAUAUUUAUUAUUGAAUUGUUAUUUUUAAUUUUAUGUCAAUUUGUUGAUUAAUAUCAAAAAUCUUCAAAACUUUCAACAACGGAUCUCUUGGUUCUCGCAUCGAUGAAGAACGCAGC